RNAcentral lists this ribosomal RNA (253 nucleotides) under uncultured bacterium. RNAcentral describes it as "partial 16S ribosomal RNA". It matches the Rfam family "Bacterial small subunit ribosomal RNA", at positions 524 to 776 of the family's 1533-position model. The record is from RNAcentral.
UACGUAGGGUGCAAGCGUUGUCCGGAAUUAUUGGGCGUAAAGAGCUCGUAGGCGGUCUGUCGCGUCUGCUGUGAAAACUCAGGGCUUAACCCUGAGCUUGCAGUGGGUACGGGCAGACUAGAGUGCGGUAGGGGAGACUGGAAUUCCUGGUGUAGCGGUGGAAUGCGCAGAUAUCAGGAGGAACACCGGUGGCGAAGGCGGAUCUCUGGGCCAUUACUGACGCUGAGGAGCGAAAGCGUGGGGAGCGAACAGG